AUAAGAAAAUAUCAAUAAUUUAAAAAGUGUAAAAUAGCUAAUAAUUUUAGUUUUUUUUUUAGUUAUUUUCGUUUAUAAACUAUUGUUAAGGGUAAUAUUGUCUUUGCACGGUCAACUAACGGUCAAUGUUAAACUUAACUGACGGUAGGGGGUUUUUUACAAAUAAAUCAAUUCUCGCCAUCUACUUGCAACAAACCCAAACCUCAGGGGAGGUUUUUAAAAAUUACCCAUUUUUUUUCAUGGAUAUAAUAAGAAGAAUCAAUAAAUACAUACACCGUGAUCAAGUUUUGUAGAUAUCUCCAAUGUGGAGGAGGCAAUAUUUGACAAGGGGCCCACGAGAUGUUACUGGAAAAUAGUAAUCCGAGUCAAAAGAAAAUACGACUGUUUGGAUACGAAUCAUUUAUUUCUAAUAGAGCCGUAGUAUAUAUAGCUUUGAAUCAUUUUAUUUGACUCAUUCCACUGAAUGAAGGUACAAACAAAAUCAUCUUUUGGACCACUUUUGUUUAUUGGAGUCGUCAAAUCCAUUUUCUAAGUUAGCCUAGUUUGAAUGCAGGAUUGGGUGGCUUCCAAAGCAAAAGUUGUCAAACAGUAAGAUAGAACCAAGUAGUUGAAGAGAAAGCAGUAGAUGACCAUUGCUUAUCCUUGCAUAUAGAGACAUUACAUUUAUGAUCAUUUUGAAUUUAGUGAUAAAAUGUAGAUGUGGCAGUAUGCAGUUAGAUAGUAGUGUGUUAUUGUAUAUGCCUUUUUUUUUUUUUGGGUGGGGGGGGGGGGGGGGUUAUAUUAACAAGCAUGUUUUUCCUAGUGGAUAAAAGCAGUAUUUUAUCCUUUGUUGGUGAUUGACUUGAAUAAUGGUAGAAUAAUGACUUCAAUUUAGAGGUUACUGAACUAUAUCGCAAGUUAGGAUUUUGGUAAUGUAAAAUUUGAAGUUUAGGUUGAAAAUUAUAAUUAUAAAAGAAAAAAUUGCAUUAAAAAUGAAAUAAAAAAUAUCCUUGCAAUUUUAAUAUUCUCCGAAAAGUUCUGUAGCUUCAAACGAAAUUUCUACACUAAUUGGGUUGUCAAAGCUUCAAAAUGUUGGGGGUUGUGUUGAAAACAUUUAACCUUUUACCUUACUUUUUCAAAAUUUUCAAACUAGCACGAGAGUUAUUUCGCCUCACGUGAAUAUUGAUUGUCAUAAAUUUAUCUUGUAAAUAGAAAAAAAAAAAUGUCAAGAGCAUCAAUGCUUUAUUGGCGAGAACCUCUAACGAUCAUGUUAUAUAUCGCAGGGCCUUCAAUUUAAUUGUCAACAAUAAGGCGAAAAUAGCAUAAUUAAGUUUUUUCAAUUCAAAUUUUGACACUUCUCCCAACAAAAAAAAAAAAAAUCAAAUAUGACGACAUAUGCUUGAAAAAAUGAAGAUGGAUCCCGCCCAAAUAAUUAAGUUGCAUCGUUAAGCCCACAUAAUUAAGUUGCAUCAUCUAUCCCUGGGCUUAUAUGUGUCAAAUUUAUGAGUGCAUAAUAGACUUGUAAAAGACUUGCAGGCCUCGAAAGUUUGGGCAUAGUUUAAGAGUAGAGCUUUUAACACCCUUCUAAAAUCCUUAUAACCCCCUUUGGAAUGUCAUUUCUUAAAACACCCACAAUUUAAUUGAUAAGAUAUAAUUUUA
Molecule: long non-coding RNA, 1638 nt
Filed under: Citrus x clementina
Lineage: Eukaryota; Viridiplantae; Streptophyta; Magnoliopsida; Sapindales; Rutaceae
Description: Citrus clementina (C. clementina) long non-coding RNA (CCLE_LNC006447)
Source: RNAcentral